This 253-nucleotide ribosomal RNA is filed under the name uncultured bacterium. RNAcentral's name for it is "partial 16S ribosomal RNA". It matches the Rfam family "Bacterial small subunit ribosomal RNA", at positions 524 to 776 of the family's 1533-position model. The record is from RNAcentral.
UACAGAGGUCUCAAGCGUUGUUCGGAUUCAUUGGGCGUAAAGGGUGCGUAGGUGGCGUCGUAAGUGGGGUGUGAAAUCCCGGGGCUUAACCCCGGGACUGCAUUCCAUACUGCGGUGCUUGAGGACUGGAGAGGAGACUGGAAUUUACGGUGUAGCGGUGAAAUGCGUAGAUAUCGUAAGGAAGACCAGUGGCGAAGGCGGGUCUCUGGACAGUUCCUGACGCUGAGGCACGAAGGUCAGGGGAGCAAGCGGG